Molecule: ribosomal RNA, 405 nt
Filed under: uncultured bacterium
Lineage: Bacteria
Description: bacterial SSU rRNA
Rfam family: Bacterial small subunit ribosomal RNA
Source: RNAcentral
UGGGGAAUAUUGGACAAUGGGCGAAAGCCUGAUGCAGCAACGCCGCGUGGGGGAAGAAGGCCUUCGGGUCGUAAACCCCUUUUCUGAGGGAAGAGAAAGGACGGUACCUCAGGAAUAAGUCUCGGCUAACUACGUGCCAGCAGCCGCGGUAAUACGUAGGAGGCGAACGUUAUCCGGAAUUACUGGGCGUAAAGCGCACGCAGGCGGCUUCGUAAGUCCGACGUGAAAGCUCCCGGCUCAACUGGGAGAGGCCGUUGGAUACUGCGAAGCUCGAGGUUGGGAGAGGAAAGUGGAAUUCCCGGUGUAGUGGUGGAAUGCGUAGAUAUCGGGAGGAACUCCAGUGGCGAAAGCGACUUUCUAGCCUACACCUGACGCUGAGGUGCGAAAGCGUGGGGAGCGAACAGG